Molecule: long non-coding RNA, 998 nt
Organism: Apis dorsata (giant honeybee)
Lineage: Eukaryota; Metazoa; Arthropoda; Insecta; Hymenoptera; Apidae
Exons: 2
Source: RefSeq, a predicted model, not a curated record
UUAUCAAAAUCGAUUUUGUAUAUAAAUCAUUACAUAUUUUAUAGUUUAGGAUUGAAUUUCAUCAAUAAAUUAUACAUUUAUCCACAAUUGUAUAUAAUCCUCUUAUCAUGCAUUUCCAUUAAUGUCCACUUAACUCUCGAACAACGUGUGUGUUCCAAUAAUUAUUCUCUCGCGAUCCGAUGUCACUUCAGAAAUUGAACACCACCCUGGUAUUCUGAUCCCUCGAGGGUCUUCGAUACCUUCCACUCGAAUCACAAAAAGAAUCGAUGAAUAAAAUUUGUAUCGAUAACUAGAGAGCGCCAAGGUAGAAAGUUCCUUAUACAAUUGCGAUCCAUUGUCAUUGUCUUAAUUUAAAUACCAAAGAAAUCAAGAAGAAAAACAAAUUAAAAUUUUUAUUAUGUUCAACAGUUACGAAUAUUACAAAAUGAUUCCAAGAAAUGAUUCCAGAUACACGUAAGGAAAAUUUACGAUUUCAUAUAUGUAUAAGUGCUUGCACCAGGUACUUUGCAGAUUUCUUUUUUAGAGCGGAAGUGGAGCACCUUCCGACCGAUAUACGCAACAACGUCAAAGUGGGUGGCGAUGAGGAUGUAGGUAGGGAUACAGACGAUGCUACGGGGAGUAGGCAAUAGCAUGGGGAUAGGCCGUAAUUGGUAUAAAAUCAUCGAGCAAACACAUCGGACAAGACAGCCUGAGGGUUGUGGGCGGUGUUACGUGCCGUUGCCUUGGUAACCAUGGGGCGACUCUGCUAAAGCACCCCUUCGCCUUGAUUGCGCACAGGCCCAUCCGUUCAUGUUUUCGUUGCUUUAUCAUCGGAUUUCUUGCACAAUGACGGCAACUUUCUGCGUUGCCACAAGAUACAGGUCAAGGACGUAUUAAGCCUUAGGCCUUUGAAAUUUCUAACAACAUAAUUUUGAUGAUGCAAACGUUCAAAAAGAGAUUAUUAUUGUAUCCCCCGUCUUGACAAAAAUCAAGACAAAUUCUGACUUUGAACUACAUUA